Carassius auratus (goldfish) is the source of this 159-nucleotide long non-coding RNA. RefSeq lists it as uncharacterized. The record is from RefSeq and is a predicted model, not a curated record. The transcript has 3 exons. NCBI's taxonomy places the organism in Eukaryota, Metazoa, Chordata, Actinopteri, Cypriniformes, Cyprinidae.
CUGUGACUUGCUCAUCAAAGGUCCUAAGCAUUAAAGGAACUCCAGUGUUUACACAGAACUCAGUCUCAGUAUUGGCCGAUGCAUGCGUGUGAUGCUGACAGAGGAGCCGGUGUUCAGAUCUGUCUGGACUCUCAUUCUGACGGCACCCAUUCAUUGUUG